ACCGGCGCACGGGUGCGUAACGCGUAUACAAUCUACCUUUUACAGAGGGAUAGCCCAGAGAAAUUUGGAUUAAUACCUCAUAGUAUUUUCGAAUCGCAUGAUUUGAUUAUUAAAGUUCCAACGGUAAAAGAUGAGUAUGCGUCCCAUUAGCUAGAUGGUAAGGUAACGGCUUACCAUGGCAACGAUGGGUAGGGGUCCUGAGAGGGAGAUCCCCCACACUGGUACUGAGACACGGACCAGACUCCUACGGGAGGCAGCAGUGAGGAAUAUUGGACAAUGGGCGCAAGCCUGAUCCAGCCAUGCCGCGUGCAGGAAGACGGUCCUAUGGAUUGUAAACUGCUUUUAUACAGGAAGAAACACCUCUACGUGUAGAGACUUGACGGUACUGUAUGAAUAAGCAUCGGCUAACUCCGUGCCAGCAGCCGCGGUAAUACGGAGGAUGCAAGCGUUAUCCGGAAUCAUUGGGUUUAAAGGGUCCGUAGGCGGCCAAAUAAGUCAGUGGUGAAAGCCCAUCGCUCAACGAUGGAACGGCCAUUGAUACUGUUUGGCUUGAAUUAUUAGGAAGUAACUAGAAUAUGUAGUGUAGCGGUGAAAUGCUUAGAGAUUACAUGGAAUACCAAUUGCGAAGGCAGGUUACUACUAAUAUAUUGACGCUGAUGGACGAAAGCGUGGGGAGCGAACAGGAUUAGAUACCCUGGUAGUCCACGCCGUAAACGAUGGAUACUAGC
Molecule: ribosomal RNA, 728 nt
Filed under: uncultured bacterium
Lineage: Bacteria
Description: bacterial SSU rRNA
Rfam family: Bacterial small subunit ribosomal RNA
Source: RNAcentral